RNAcentral lists this ribosomal RNA (245 nucleotides) under Enterococcus faecalis. Its description in RNAcentral is "partial 16S ribosomal RNA". It matches the Rfam family "Bacterial small subunit ribosomal RNA", at positions 1290 to 1533 of the family's 1533-position model. The record is from RNAcentral. Lineage: Bacteria; Bacillati; Bacillota; Bacilli; Lactobacillales; Enterococcaceae.
AGUUCGGAUUGCAGGCUGCAACUCGCCUGCAUGAAGCCGGAAUCGCUAGUAAUCGCGGAUCAGCACGCCGCGGUGAAUACGUUCCCGGGCCUUGUACACACCGCCCGUCACACCACGAGAGUUUGUAACACCCGAAGUCGGUGAGGUAACCUUUUUGGAGCCAGCCGCCUAAGGUGGGAUAGAUGAUUGGGGUGAAGUCGUAACAAGGUAGCCGUAUCGGAAGGUGCGGCUGGAUCACCUCCUUU